This is an RNA transcript of Haliotis rufescens (red abalone), 1359 nucleotides long. It is a transcript of the gene named glutenin, high molecular weight subunit DY10-like, with no coding region annotated. The transcript is spliced from 4 exons. Lineage: Eukaryota; Metazoa; Mollusca; Gastropoda; Lepetellida; Haliotidae. The record is from RefSeq and is a predicted model, not a curated record.
GCAUAUUUGUUUUUUUCGUAUCCUUACAAUUGGAGACCUGAAGGCAUCAUCGAACGAUAUUUAAGACGGAAACACGAACAAGACUUCACAACACAGCGACCUUGGACGUCGCUGCAGAUCGAAAUAUCAACAUGACGCCAUUGAUAGUCGGUCUCUGCCUGGCCGUACUGGGGGUUAUGGUGUCAGGACAAGGGCCCUUUACCGGCCAAAACUACUUCCCUACAGCGAAGCACCGGCCCAACAAGCAACACCAACAUUUCUACCCGUCAAGAAUAUAUUUCGACCACCCAGGCCAUUUUCCACCGCACGGGAAAAACGACGACCAAUACCCCCCGCAUGGGAAGCAACAAGGCCAAUACCCAACGCACGGGAAGCAAGACGACCACUACCAAACGCACGGGAAGCAUCAAGGCCAAUACCUACCGAACGGGAAGCAUGAAGGCCAAUAUCCAACGCACGUGAAGCAAGGAGGCCACUACCCAACACACGAGAAGCAGCAAGGCCACUACCCAACGCACGGGAAGCAUCAAGAUCACUACCCAACGCACGGGAAGCAACAAGGCCACUACCCAACGCACGGGAAGCAACAAGGCCACUACCCAACGCACGGGAAUCAACAAGGCCACUACCCAACGCAUGAGAAGCAACAAGGCCACUACCCAACGCACGGGAAGCAACAAGGCCACAAACCAACGCACGGGAAGCAUCAAGACCACUACCCAACACACGGGAAGCAACAAGGCCACUACCCAACGCACGGGAAGCAACAAGGCCACUAUCCAACGCAUGGGAAUCAACAAGGCCACUACCCAACGCACGGGAAGCAACAAGGCCACUACCCAACGCAUGGGAAGCAACAAGGCCACUACCCAACGCAUGGGCACCAACAACCCUACUACCCACCACAAGGGCAUCAGGGACCCAAGUUCCUCCCAAAAGGGCAACAACCCCUUUACCAACCACAAGGGUCACAUCAACCCCACUUUUCAACAAAUGGGCACCAGCAACCGCAAAACAGCAAAAACGGAUUAAAGCAGAUCAACAAACCCAGUCAGAAGGUUUCAACACCGAAGACCCCGGUUCAUGAAUGACAACUCUGAGUUUGGAAAACAAGGGUAAAAUUCGUGCUGGUAAUGAACGUUCCGCAUAUACAUCCGCAUGCAGUCACAUGUCUAUUUCAAAUGGGGAGGACUGCCCUAGCAGACCAUCUGUCGAUCCUCAGUCGAUUCACCAGUCCUGACUUAAACCCUAUGUCUGUGCAGCAAGAAAAUCGAAGAUUACACGAUGCAUAUCAACACGGCAGUGACUAUGUAUAUUUGAUUGUUGUUGUAUUGAGACUUAAUAAAGCAUAUCUGAUUA